Molecule: unclassified non-coding RNA, 154 nt
Filed under: uncultured Apiospora
Lineage: Eukaryota; Fungi; Ascomycota; Sordariomycetes; Amphisphaeriales; Apiosporaceae
Description: sequence contains ITS2
Source: RNAcentral
CAACCCUUAAGCCUAGCUUAGUGUUGGGAAUCUGCUGUACUGCAGUUCCUUAAAGACAGUGGCGGAGCGGCGGUAGUCCUCUGAGCGUAGUAAUUUAUUUCUCGCUUUUGUCAGGCUCUGUCCUCCCGCCAUAAAACCCCCAAUUUUUUAGUGG